GCAGACACAUUCCAGCCAAUCAGCAGCAGACCCUCCCUCCCAGACCCUCCCACCUGGACAGCAUCCAUUUUACAUUCAUUGUGAAGCUGCAUUCUUAGUGAGCUGUCCAGGAGGUGGGAGGGUCUGGGAGGGAGGGUCUGCUGCUGAUUGGCUGGAAUGUGUCUG
Non-coding RNA from Pelobates cultripes (western spadefoot toad), 165 nucleotides. The record is from the annotation of a GenBank genome assembly. Lineage: Eukaryota; Metazoa; Chordata; Amphibia; Anura; Pelobatidae.